Molecule: ribosomal RNA, 176 nt
Filed under: uncultured Ochrobactrum sp.
Lineage: Bacteria; Pseudomonadati; Pseudomonadota; Alphaproteobacteria; Hyphomicrobiales; Brucellaceae
Description: partial 16S ribosomal RNA
Rfam family: Bacterial small subunit ribosomal RNA
Source: RNAcentral
CGCGUGAGUGAUGAAGGCCCUAGGGUUGUAUAGCUCUUUCACCGGUGAAGAUAAUGACGGUAACCGGAGAAGAAGCCCCGGCUAACUUCGUGCCAGCAGCCGCGGUAAUACGAAGGCGCCUAGCGUUGUUCGGAUUUACUGGGCGUAUAGCGCACGUAGGCGGAUUGGUCAGUUAG